This 231-nucleotide unclassified non-coding RNA is filed under the name fungal sp. RNAcentral's name for it is "partial internal transcribed spacer region". The stretch from base 1 to 47 matches the Rfam family "Eukaryotic small subunit ribosomal RNA", at positions 1785 to 1831 of the family's 1831-position model. The record is from RNAcentral. Lineage: Eukaryota; Fungi.
AAAGUCGUAACAAGGUAACCGUAGGUGAACCUGCGGUUGGAUCAUUAACAAAUCUAGAGGGUCUUCUCUUAGGAGGCCUUUCUAACAUUAUGUGAACCGUUUAUAGUCUCUGGCGAGCCUAGCCUUUUGGGGCACUCGCCUAUGAAUAAACUAUGUAUAAUCUACCUACCCUGUCUAAAGCUUAUGAAAUCUAAUAUUAAACAACUUUUAACAACGGAUCUCUAGGCUCUC